Molecule: ribosomal RNA, 266 nt
Filed under: uncultured bacterium
Lineage: Bacteria
Description: partial 16S ribosomal RNA
Rfam family: Bacterial small subunit ribosomal RNA
Source: RNAcentral
GUCCACGCCCUAAACGAUGUCGACUGGUUGUUGGGGGUUUGACACUCUCAGUAACGAAGCUAACGCGUGAAGUCGACCGCCUGGGGGAGUACGGCCGCAAGGUUAAAACUCAAAGGAAUUGACGGGGACCCGCACAAGCGGUGGAUUAUGUGGAUUAAUUCGAUGCAACGCGAAAAACCUUACCUACCCUUGACAUGUCCGAGAGGCUUGAGAGAUCAGGCUGUGCCCGAAAGGGAAUCGGAACACAGGUGCUGCAUGGCUGUCGU